GCAAGUCGAACGGUAGGAAUCCUUCGGGAUUCUGAGAGUGGCGAACGGGUGAGUAACACGUAGAUGAUCUACCUUUUAGUUGGGGAUAGCCCAUGGAAACAUGGAGUAAUACCGAAUAAUCUCUUUUUGCCUUGGCGAUUAGAGGAAAGCAGCGUUUGCUGUGCUGAAAGAUGAGUCUGCGCACUAUUAGCUAGUUGGUGGGGUAAGAGCCUACCAAGGCGACGAUAGUUAGCCGACCUGAGAGGGUGAUC
RNAcentral lists this ribosomal RNA (251 nucleotides) under uncultured bacterium. Its description in RNAcentral is "partial 16S ribosomal RNA". It matches the Rfam family "Bacterial small subunit ribosomal RNA", at positions 57 to 305 of the family's 1533-position model. The record is from RNAcentral.